GCAGUGAUUGUUCAGUGGUAGAAUUCUUACCUUCCAUAUGGAAGACCUGAGUUCAAUUCCUGGUCAAUGCA
Molecule: transfer RNA, 71 nt
Filed under: Loxodonta africana (African savanna elephant)
Lineage: Eukaryota; Metazoa; Chordata; Mammalia; Proboscidea; Elephantidae
Rfam family: tRNA
About the family: Transfer RNA (tRNA) molecules are approximately 80 nucleotides in length.
Source: Rfam by way of RNAcentral